GACGAACGCUGGCGGCGUGCUUAACACAUGCAAGUCGAACGGAAAGGCCCUGCUUUUGUGGGGUGCUCGAGUGGCGAACGGGUGAGUAACACGUGAGUAACCUGCCCUUGACUUUGGGAUAACUUCAGGAAACUGGGGCUAAUACCGGAUAGGAGCUCCUGCUGCAUGGUGGGGGUUGGAAAGUUUCGGCGGUUGGGGAUGGACUCGCGGCUUAUCAGCUCGUUGGUGGGGUAGUGGCUUACCAAGGCUUUGACGGGUAGCCGGCCUGAGAGGGUGACCGGGAAGAGUGAGGCGGCGGUACGGCCUAGGGUGGGGGGGGAGGGGGCGGUGGGGAGUAGAGCACGGGGGGCGGGAGCCUGACGCGGCAGCGGCGGGGGCGGGACGACGGCCGUCGGGUUGGAAGCCGCGGUCGGCGGGGAGGAGGGGGGGGUGAAGGUGAGGAGAAAAGACGCACCGGCCAACGACUGGCGAGCGGCCGCAGUAAGAGUCGGAAGAACCGACGACUAACC
RNAcentral lists this ribosomal RNA (509 nucleotides) under uncultured bacterium. Its description in RNAcentral is "partial 16S ribosomal RNA". It matches the Rfam family "Bacterial small subunit ribosomal RNA", at positions 34 to 540 of the family's 1533-position model. The record is from RNAcentral.